UACGGGGGGGGCAAGCGUUGUUCGGAAUUACUGGGCGUAAAGGGCUCGUAGGUGGCCAUUUAAGUCAGACGUGAAAUCCCUCAGCUUAACUGGGGAACUGCGUCUGAUACUGGAUGGCUUGAGUUUGGGAGAGGGAUGCGGAAUUCCAGGUGUAGCGGUGAAAUGCGUAGAUAUCUGGAGGAACACCGGUGGCGAAGGCGGCUACCUGGACAGAGUCUGACGCUGAGGCACGAAAGCUAGGGGAGCAAACAGG
RNAcentral lists this ribosomal RNA (253 nucleotides) under uncultured bacterium. RNAcentral's name for it is "partial 16S ribosomal RNA". It matches the Rfam family "Bacterial small subunit ribosomal RNA", at positions 524 to 776 of the family's 1533-position model. The record is from RNAcentral.